AGGGGAGCACAUCCCCAACAGCCCCUUCCAGGUCAUGGCCACGGACCGGCCGCUGCUGGGGGUCAACGGGCUGGACAUGGCCGGGCUGCGGCCCUUCGACCUCGUCAUCCCCUUCACCAUCAAGAAGGGCGAGAUCACAGGUGAGGUGCGGAUGCCCUCGGGCAAGGUGGCCACCCCGGA
Molecule: long non-coding RNA, 180 nt
Organism: Camarhynchus parvulus
Lineage: Eukaryota; Metazoa; Chordata; Aves; Passeriformes; Thraupidae
Exons: 3
Source: RefSeq, a predicted model, not a curated record